AUGCCUGAUGGUUCCCUGAAGUGCCAGGUUCUGGGGGCAGCAGGGAUGCAAGAUUAUGUGAAAAGACCAUCCCUAAGCAGCAGUUUGAGUCAAGGUUAUGGGUCUUCUCUGCUUUGUGCAGUGGUUUAUGGGGGACAUGAGCAGGGCUGUGUGUGUGGCAGGGUUGAGGGACAGAAUGGUGUCUGGAGGACAAUAAGAGGGUGUGGUGGGGAGUCUUUUGUCCUGGGGACAUUAUCCAAACUUUGGAGGUCUAUAAGGUUGUAUCUUAAGAGCAUAGUGAACAGGACUUUCCUGAAGUCCUGCAGCCUCUGUUUGCUGGCAGCCCCCAAAGGCAGGUCCAAGGUGGGCCUUUGGAAGGACUGUCCCCGACCUUCAAGCCUUUUUGCCUUCAGCAAAGAAAGACAGCUCCCCCCCCCACACACACACCCAGACAAUGGAGUCCCAGAGUCCUUUCCAUCUCUUCCACUCUCAAAGAUCUUAGAUGCCAGGCUAUGGCAGGACCAAAACUUUUAAGUUUUUUUUUUUUUAAGGGAGGGGGAAUCUUGUAAAACUUUUAUGCCA
Molecule: long non-coding RNA, 561 nt
Filed under: Urocitellus parryii (Arctic ground squirrel)
Lineage: Eukaryota; Metazoa; Chordata; Mammalia; Rodentia; Sciuridae
Description: lncRNA (ENSUPAG00010020541.1)
Source: RNAcentral